RNAcentral lists this ribosomal RNA (497 nucleotides) under uncultured bacterium. RNAcentral's name for it is "partial 16S ribosomal RNA". It matches the Rfam family "Bacterial small subunit ribosomal RNA", at positions 28 to 507 of the family's 1533-position model. The record is from RNAcentral.
GAUGAACGCUGGCGGCGUGCCUAAUACAUGCCAGUCGAGCGAACAGACGAGGAGCUUGCUCCUCUGACGUUAGCGGCGGACGGGUGAGUAACACGUGGAUAACCUACCUAUAAGACUGGGAUAACUUCGGGAAACCGGAGCUAAUACCGGAUAAUAUAUUGAACCGCAUGGUUCAAUAGUGAAAGACGGUUUUGCUGUCACUUAUAGAUGGAUCCGCGCCGCAUUAGCUAGUUGGUAAGGUAACGGCUUACCAAGGCAACGAUGCGUAGCCGACCUGAGGGGGUGAUCGGCCACACUGGAACUGAGACACGGUCCAGACUCCUACGGGAGGCAGCAGUAGGGAAUCUUCCGCAAUGGGCGAAAGCCUGACGGAGCAACGCCGCGUGAGUGAUGAAGGUCUUCGGAUCGUAAAACUCUGUUAUUAGGGAAGAUCAAAUGUGUAAGUAACUAUGCACGUCUUGACGGUACCUAAUCAGAAAGCCACGGCUAACUACGUG